Molecule: transfer RNA, 65 nt
Filed under: Dipodomys ordii (Ord's kangaroo rat)
Lineage: Eukaryota; Metazoa; Chordata; Mammalia; Rodentia; Heteromyidae
Rfam family: tRNA
About the family: Transfer RNA (tRNA) molecules are approximately 80 nucleotides in length. Their secondary structure includes four short double-helical elements and three loops (D, anti-codon, and T loops).
Source: Rfam by way of RNAcentral
GGUGGCUUAGUGGUAGAGUACUUGCCUUGCAUGCAUGAGGCCCUGGGUUCAAUUCCUCAGCACCA